This 465-nucleotide ribosomal RNA is filed under the name Vreelandella stevensii. RNAcentral describes it as "partial 16S ribosomal RNA". It matches the Rfam family "Bacterial small subunit ribosomal RNA", at positions 338 to 795 of the family's 1533-position model. Lineage: Bacteria; Pseudomonadati; Pseudomonadota; Gammaproteobacteria; Oceanospirillales; Halomonadaceae. The record is from RNAcentral.
CCUACGGGUGGCUGCAGUGAGGAAUAUUGGACAAUGGGGGCAACCCUGAUCCAGCCAUGCCGCGUGUGUGAAGAAGGCCCUCGGGUUGUAAAGCACUUUCAGUGAGGAAGAACGCCUGGUGGUUAAUACCCAUCAGGAAAGACAUCACUCACAGAAGAAGCACCGGCUAACUCCGUGCCAGCAGCCGCGGUAAUACGGAGGGUGCGAGCGUUAAUCGGAAUUACUGGGCGUAAAGCGCGCGUAGGUGGCUUGAUAAGCCGGUUGUGAAAGCCCCGGGCUCAACCUGGGAACGGCAUCCGGAACUGUCAAGCUAGAGUGCAGGAGAGGAAGGUAGAAUUCCCGGUGUAGCGGUGAAAUGCGUAGAGAUCGGGAGGAAUACCAGUGGCGAAGGCGGCCUUCUGGACUGACACUGACACUGAGGUGCGAAAGCGUGGGUAGCAAACAGGAUUAGAUACCCCUGUAGUC